This 2186-nucleotide long non-coding RNA is filed under the name Bemisia tabaci. Its description in RNAcentral is "lncRNA ENSSSA2NGG011266". Lineage: Eukaryota; Metazoa; Arthropoda; Insecta; Hemiptera; Aleyrodidae. The record is from RNAcentral.
AUGGUUGAAAACCAAUCGAAUUCAAGGAUGUUCACUACUCUUCCGCCGAAUUACCCUCCACGAUUCCAGGCUUUUAGUCCCUUGCCAAAUCAUAUCUAUCAAACGCCUCCACGAUUCCAGGCUUUUAGUCCUUUGUCGGAUAAUAUUUAUCAAGCGCCUCCAGUAAUUCCUGCGCAACAGCCAGCUGGUGCUGUUAAUAGGCCUAGACCACGUAGUGUUUCUCCUGUGCCAUCGACAAGCUCUAUCAGUACCGAGCAUGCGUUUAGCAUCCUUAUGGAUAGGUUUGAGGCUCUCGACACUAAAGUUUCUGAAAAAUUCAAUGCUUUGGAGAGUAAAAUUCCGUCUCUAGUAGAAAAUAGUUUACUGGAUCAAGUGAAAAAGGAGUCGCUUAACGACUUAACCCCUAAAUUAAAUAAAGAAAGUAAUCUCUCAUACAGUUCUGUUAUCAUACUAGAUUUCAAACUUAGUGUGACGACAUGAAAUUGAAAUUAGUUCUACAUCCAUAAAUUAGGUCGUUUGUGGAAUAAGGUUUCCCCAGCCCCCUAGGAUUUUAAUUAUAGCUUAGACCUAACUUGUUGAGAUUCACCGCAUAAAUUAACUGCCUAACUACACCCAAUAACUUGUCUGCACAAAUGGAAAUUUACACACACACCCCUAAUUAUAAGUAGCUUUAAGUAAAUUUAAGUAAUUUCUGAUGAAACAUCAUCAAACUAGUCCUCCCGGACUAAAUAACAAAGACAAAAAUAAAAUUGAAGUAUCAAUGAUAAGUUAAGGAUUGAUAUAAAUUGACUAUUCUUUCCAUAAUUGUUUGGCUAUGAAAUUUUCAAAUUUUUCCCACAGCUAAAAUCUAAAGUUUUAUAUUACCAAGUUUCGAUGUACUGCCUUACCUCGAUGUAAACUAUUUAAGUCAACUUUGUUUUUGUCGAAAAUUUUUAUACUGUUUCUUUUGUAAAUAUGUUCAUUGUUUCAAAACAAAAUUUUUUGAAUAAAUUACGACAGAGCCGGCACGGACUUAAAUUAAAUUAACUUAAAUUAAAUUAAAAGGAAUAUCUGCGAGGAGAUGAGUUUUCCCAUACUUUGUUUGAGAAAGCAUAUCUCUAAGCUUUGAUUAGAUUCCUCCAAAUUUUUUUUUCUCUCACUAUCUCUUUUGUGGUAUUUUACCUGUGCUACAUGGUUUCAUCUCUCUCGGGGAACCAGACUUCCAAGUCGCCUGACUUUGUCUGACGAUUUGGGAGUCAGGGGGGGUAAUCUGUAGCGCGGUAAGGUACCUCGUAGUUUCGCCAGAGGGCGACACCUCCCCGGUGGUUCCGGGCGGGCCAUCUCUGAUUGGUUGAAGUUGUCGGAUGAUGAUGGAUCGACCAAUCAUGGAUGGCGUGCCCUGAGCCGCUGGGGAAGUCAGUUCGAGUUUGGCCCGGGUCAAGACCGCGUCCGAAAUGUGAGUAUUAUUUUUGAAAGGUUGGGGACUUGGUCCCCAACUAUAUUUAGAUUCCUUUUCGAUAGUUUACGAUUGUGUGUGAUUUUCCGGUCGUGCUCCGUCUGUAAAACAGACUUAGUUGUCGUUUUCAUUCCAGACCUUCUUUUUCUCUGGUGUUCUGGGCCCCACAGCCGGGUGGCCUAGUCACAAAUAAUCACUUGCAUUCUCAUUCCCAGAAGGAGGACCAGGAGGUACAGCGUCUAUCUCCAAUUUUGCAAUCGGUUAUCUACGCUGUAGACACGGCAGCGUCGCUCUUUGCAACCUCCGCACAGCAGUCGAGACUGGCUGACUGGAUGACGCGACGCGGCUCCCUGCCCCGCGUAGCCCCGCAUGGCCCCGCUCCGGGCCAGUACGCUGCUCGAGGCGUAGCGUACUAGCGCUGCUAUUCCCGUGGCCUCAUGUACCAUUACCACACUUGGAUUGCAUUUUGCUAAAAGAAACAAAGAGCAUUCCAAUGUUGCUCAGAUUGUGCCAUUUUUUUUUACCUCGCAAAUAUAAACUGAUCAUUCAAAGUUUAACUCUAAACAAGUUUAUCUUACUCCCAAUUAACUAUAAUUUCAAGAUGAAAAUUACCCUGUAAAUUUGAUUUUUUUCAGGAUUUCAGUAAUAUUAUUGCAAGGAAUGCAAAUUGCACAAUCUUAGCAACAUUGAAAUGCACUUGGUUCCUUUGUUGCAAAGCGCAACCCACCUGAGCAAAGCUGUCUGCACUCUG